Molecule: small RNA, 125 nt
Filed under: Marmota monax (woodchuck)
Lineage: Eukaryota; Metazoa; Chordata; Mammalia; Rodentia; Sciuridae
Source: RNAcentral
GCCGGGUACGGUGGCUCGCGCCUAUAAUCCCAGCAGCUGGGGAGGCUGAGGCAGGAGGAUUGUGAGUUCCAAGCCAGCCUCAGCAAAAGGGAGGCGCUAAGCAACUCAGCGAGACCCUGUCUCUA